This 468-nucleotide ribosomal RNA is filed under the name uncultured bacterium. Its description in RNAcentral is "partial 16S ribosomal RNA". It matches the Rfam family "Bacterial small subunit ribosomal RNA", at positions 28 to 507 of the family's 1533-position model. The record is from RNAcentral.
GACGAACGCUGGCGGCGUGCUUAACACAUGCAAGUCGAACGGAAAGGCCCUGCUUUUGUGGGGUGCUCGAGUGGCGAACGGGUGAGUAACACGUGAGUAACCUGCCCUUGACUUUGGGAUAACUUCAGGAAACUGGGGCUAAUACCGGAUAGGAGCUCCUGCUGCAUGGUGGGGGUUGGAAAGUUUCGGCGGUUGGGGAUGGACUCGCGGCUUAUCAGCUUGUUGGUGGGGUAGUGGCUUACCAAGGCUUUGACGGGUAGCCGGCCUGAGAGGGUGGCCGGCCACAUUGGGACUGAGAUACGGCCCAGACUCCUACGGGGGGCAGCAGGGGGAAAUAUUGCACAAUGGGCGGAAGCCUGAUGCGGCAACGCCGCGUGCGGGAUGACGGCCUUCGGGUUGUGAACCGCUUCCGCCUGUGACGAAGCGUGAGUGACGGUAAUGGGUAAAGAAGCACCGGCUAACUACGUG